ACAAGGUUUCGUUAGGUGACCGUAGGAUAGUUUCAUUGUUGAGCAGAGCAUGGAAUGAUGGGAUGUUUGUGAAGGUGUGAUUGUUUUCCUUUCCUCGCACCCCAAUGCCUUGGCGGCGCGAGAUUGGCCAUGUAUCCGGUGCGACCAUGGACAAACUAAGGAACUAUUGGACUCGGAGGGCAGAGGGCCCCUUGGCGUGCGCAGGGAGGCCUAUGUGUCUGAUAUUCCUCGGAAUCAAUCAUAUGACUCUCUGCAGAUGGUAUAUCUCUUCUCUUGCAUCGAUGAAGAACGUAGUAGAAUAAUGCGAUACUAUGGUGUGAAUUGCAGAGUAAUCUCGUGAGCCAUUGAUUGUUUGAACGCACUUGUUGUGCCGAGAGGCUCUGUCUGGAGGACGGCACUGCGUGCUUGGUAGUGAUGGCGCCGCCUCCUCUGUUCUCCAUGUAUUAUAUGGUGACGAGCGAGUGAAUAAAUUGCGCCCUGGUGCUUCCGUCGCACUCAGUCGGCUAAGGACGGGCGUGGUGGCAAUCAUUGGUCGGGCAGCGACGGUUGUUGGUCGCCGCGGGCACGGAACCAGAAGCGUCGCCCCGGUCGGUUUGGGACGAGCCCUCAAUAGAGACCCUGUGCUGAUUGUGAGCGUCGGGUGAAAGUGCCGUGUCGCAUCAACUUGUCGUCUCACUCAGUCAGACACACGACCAGUUUAGCAUAUC
This 707-nucleotide ribosomal RNA is filed under the name Kaempferia galanga. Its description in RNAcentral is "eukaryotic LSU rRNA". The stretch from base 245 to 417 matches the Rfam family "5.8S ribosomal RNA". The record is from RNAcentral. Lineage: Eukaryota; Viridiplantae; Streptophyta; Magnoliopsida; Zingiberales; Zingiberaceae.